RNAcentral lists this ribosomal RNA (402 nucleotides) under uncultured Alphaproteobacteria bacterium. RNAcentral describes it as "bacterial SSU rRNA". It matches the Rfam family "Bacterial small subunit ribosomal RNA", at positions 9 to 429 of the family's 1533-position model. Lineage: Bacteria; Pseudomonadati; Pseudomonadota; Alphaproteobacteria. The record is from RNAcentral.
GAGGUUUGAUCGUGGCUCAGAACGAACGCUGGCGGCAUGCCUAACACAUGCAAGUCGAACGGGAUCCGGACUUCGGUUCGGUGAGAGUGGCGGACGGGUGAGUAACGCGUGGGAACCUGCCCAGUGGUGGGGGAUAACUGCGGGAAACUGCAGCUAAUACCGCAUGAGCCCGAGAGGGGAAAGAUUUAUCGCCAUUGGAGGGGCCCGCGUUCGAUUAGGUAGUUGGUGAGGUAAUGGCUCACCAAGCCGACGAUCGAUAGCUGGUCUGAGAGGAUGAUCAGCCACACUGGGACUGAGAUACGGCCCAGACUCCUACGGGAGGCAGCAGUGGGGAAUAUUGGACAAUGAGGGCAACCCUGAUCCAGCAAUGCCGCGUGAGUGAUGAAGGCCUUCGGUUGUAAG